GAUUCUGGCUCAGGAUGAACGCUAACUACAGGCUUAACACAUGCAAGUCGAGGGGCAGCAUUGGAGUAGCAAUACUCAGAUGGCGACCGGCGCACGGGUGAGUAACACGUAUCCAACCUGCCGCUUACUCGGGGAUAGCCUUUCGAAAGAAAGAUUAAUACCCGAUGGUAUAAAGAGUUCGCAUGUUCUCUUUAUUAAAGAAUUUCGGUAAGCGAUGGGGAUGCGUUCCAUUAGAUUGUUGGCGGGGUAACGGCCCACCAAGUCUACGAUGGAUAGGGGUUCUGAGAGGAAGGUCCCCCACAUUGGAACUGAGACACGGUCCAAACUCCUACGGGAGGCAGCAGUGAGGAAUAUUGGUCAAUGGACGAGAGUCUGAAUCAGCCAAAGUAGCGUGAAGGAUGACUGCCCUAUGGGUUGUAAACUUCUUUUAUAAGGGAAUAAAGUGAGGGACGUGUCCCUUUUUGUAUGUACCUUAUGAAUAAGGAUCGGCUAACUCCGUGCCAGCCGCCGC
This 511-nucleotide ribosomal RNA is filed under the name uncultured bacterium. RNAcentral describes it as "bacterial SSU rRNA". It matches the Rfam family "Bacterial small subunit ribosomal RNA", at positions 15 to 518 of the family's 1533-position model. The record is from RNAcentral.